This 402-nucleotide ribosomal RNA is filed under the name uncultured bacterium. Its description in RNAcentral is "partial 16S ribosomal RNA". It matches the Rfam family "Bacterial small subunit ribosomal RNA", at positions 28 to 525 of the family's 1533-position model. The record is from RNAcentral.
GACGAACGCUGGCGGCGUGCCUAAUACAUGCAAGUCGAACGCAGUGGGGACGGGUGAGUAACACGUGGGUAACCUCCCAUCAGAGGGGAUAACACUUGGAAACAGGUGCUAAACCGAUACUGAUGGAUGGACCCGCGGUGCAUUAGCUAGUUGGUGAGGUACCGGCUCACCAAGGCCACGAUGCAUAGCGGACUGGAGGGGCUGAGAGGACACAAUGGGAAUGAGACACGGCCCAGACUCCAACGGGAGGCAGAAGUAGGGAAUUGUCGGCAAUGGACGAAAGUCUGACCGAGCAACGCCGCGUGAGGGAAGAAGGGUUUCGGAUCGUAAAUCGUUGUUGUUAGAGAAGCGGUAUCUAACCAGAAAGCCACGGCUAACUACGUGCCAGCCGCCGCGGUAAUU